Molecule: ribosomal RNA, 356 nt
Filed under: uncultured Methanomicrobiales archaeon
Lineage: Archaea; Methanobacteriati; Methanobacteriota; Methanomicrobia; Methanomicrobiales
Description: bacterial SSU rRNA
Rfam family: Archaeal small subunit ribosomal RNA
Source: RNAcentral
CCGGGCAAGACCGGUGCCAGCCGCCGCGGUAAUACCGGCGGCUCGAGUGGUGACCGCUAUUACUGGGUUUAAAGGGUCCGUAGCUGGAUGUACAAGUCCCUUGAGAAAUCCACCGGCUCAACUGGCGGGCGUUCAGGAGAUACUGUAUUUCUAGGGACCGGGAGAGGUGAGAGGUACUGCCGGGGUAGGAGUGAAAUCCUGUAAUCCCGGUGGGACCACCUAUGGCGAAGGCAUCUCACCAGAACGGGUCACGACAGUGAGGGACGAAAGCUGGGGGAGCAAACCGGAUUAGAUACCCGGGUAGUCCCAGCUGUAAACGAUGCGCGUUAGUGUGUCACUGCCACAGUCAUGAGUGC